This is a long non-coding RNA of Loxodonta africana (African savanna elephant), 22474 nucleotides long. RefSeq lists it as uncharacterized. The transcript has 2 exons. The record is from RefSeq and is a predicted model, not a curated record. NCBI's taxonomy places the organism in Eukaryota, Metazoa, Chordata, Mammalia, Proboscidea, Elephantidae.
GAAAUAACUCUGCUGGAUGCUGCACUAUAUACUGGGGAUAUAUGAAGAGUAAAACAGACUUCCUGGGAAGCUCACAUCCAGCGCGGGGACAGACAGAUGACAUGAUCUUAUACACAGAAAAUCCUAAGGAAUCCUCCAGAAAACUACUGAAACUAAUAGAAGAGUUCAGCAGAGCAUCAGGAUACAAGAUAAACAUACAAAAAUCAGUUCGCUUCCUCUACAGCAACAAAAAGAGCAUCGAAGAGGAAAUCACCAAAUCAAUGCCAUUUACAGUAGCCCCCAAGAAGAUAAAAUACUUAGGAAUAAAUCUUCCCAGAGAUGUAAAAGACUUAUACAAAGAAAAUUACAGUACACUUCUGCAAGAAACCAAAAGAGACUUACAUAAGUGGAAGAACAUACCUUGCUCAUGGAUAAGAACACUUAACAUUAUAAAAAUGUCUAUUCUACCAAAAGUGAUCUGUACAUUUAAUGCAAAAAAAAAAAAAAAUGCAAUUCUGAUCCAAAUCCCAACGACAUUCUUUAAUGAGAUGGAGAAACAAAUCACCAACUUCAUAUGGAAGGGAAAGAGGCCCCAGAUAAAUAAGGCAUUACUGAAAAAGAAGAACAAAGUAGGAGGCUUUACUUUACCUGAUUUUAGAGCCUAUUAUACCAUCACAGUAGUCAAAGCAGCCUGGUACUGGUACAACAACAGAUACAUGGACCAAUGGAACAGAAGUGAGAAUCCAGACAUAAAUCCAUCCACAUAUAAGCAGUACAUAUUUGACCAAGGCCCCAAAACCGUUAAAUGGGGAAAAGACAGCCUUUUUAACAAAUGGUGCUGGCAUAACUGGAUAACCAUCUGCAAAAAAAUGAAACAAGACCCAUACCUCACUCCGUGCACAAAAACUAACUCAAAAUGGAUCAAAGACCUAAAUAUAAAAUCUAAAACGAUAAAGAUCAUGGAGGAAAAAAUAGGGACAACGUCAGGAGCCCUAAUACAUGGCAUAAACGGUAUAGAAAACAUUAUAAAGAAUGUAGAAUAAAAACUAGAUAACUGGGAGCUCCUAAAAAUCAAACACCUAUGCUCAUCCAAAGACUUGACCUAAAGAGUAAAAAGACUACCUGCAGACUGGGAAAAAGUUUUUAGCUAUGACAUUUCCAAUCAGCACCUGAUCUCUAAAAUCUACAUGAUACUGCAAAAACUCAACUGCAAAAAGACAAAUAACCCGAUUAAAAAAUGGGCAAAAGAUAUGAAUACACACUUCACUAAAGAAGACAUUCAGAUAGCUAACAGAUAUAUGAGGAAAUGUUCACGAUCACUAGCCAUUAGAGAAAUGCAGAUCAAAACUACAAUGAGAUUCCAUCUCACUCCAACAAGGCUGGCAUUAAUCAAAAAAACACAAAAUAAUAAAUAUUGGAGAGGUUGUGGUGAGAUUGGAACACUUACACACUGCUGGUGGGAAUGUCAAAUAGUACAACCACUUUGGAAAUCGAUUUGGUGCUUCCUUAAAAAGCUAGAAAUAGAACUGUCAUACGAUCCAGCAAUCCCACUCCUUGGAGUAUAUCCUAGAGAAAUAAGAGCCUUUACACAAACAGAUAUAUGCACACCCAUGUUUAUUGCAGCACUGUUUACAAUAGCAAAAACAUGGAAGCAACCAAGAUGCCCAUCAACGGAUGAAUGGAUAAAUAAAUUAUGGUAUAUUCACACAAUGGAAUACUACACAUGGAUAAAGACCAGUGAGGAAUCUGUGAAACAUUUCAUAACAUGGAGGAACCUGGAAGGCAUUAUGCUGAGUGAAAUUAGUCAGUUAUAAAAGGACAAAUAUUGUAUAAGACCACUAUUAUAAGAACUUGAGAAGUAGUUUAAACUGAGAAGAAAACAUUCUUUUGUGGUUUCGAGAAGGGGGAGAAGGGAGGGUGGGAAAGGAGCAUUCACUAAUUAGAUAGUAGAUAAGAACUACUUUAGGUGAAGGAAGAGGCAGCACACAAUACAGUGGAGGUCAGCACAAUUGGACUAAACCAAAAGCAAAGAAGUUUCCUGAAUAAACUGAAUGCUUUCAAGGCCAGCGUAGCAGGGGCAGGGGUCUGGGGACCAUGGUUUCAGGGGACAUCUAAGUCAAUUGGCAUAAUAAAAUCUAUUAAGUAAACAUUCUGCAUCCCACUUUGAAGAGUGGUGUCUGGGGUCUUAAACGCUAGCAAGCAGCCAUCUAAGAUGCAUCAAUUGGUCUCAACCCACCGGGAUUAAAGGAGAAUGAAGAACACCAAGGCACAAGGCAAUUACAAGCCCAAGAGGCAGAAAGGGCCACAUGAACCAGAGACUACCUCAUCCUGAGACCAGAAGAACUAGAUGGUGCCCGGCUACAACCGAUGACAGGGAACACAACAGAGAACCCCUUAGGGAGCAGGAGAGCAGUGGGAUGCAGACCCCAAAUUCUCAUAAGACCAGUCUUAAUGGUCUGACUGAGACUAGAAGGACCCCGGUGGUCACGGCCCCCAGACCUUCUGUUGGCCCAGGACAGGAACCAUUCCCGAAGCCAACUCUUCAGACAUGGAUUGGACUGGACAAUGGGUUGGAGAAGAUGCUGGUGAGGAGUGAGCUUCUUGGAUCAGGUGGACUCUUGAUAUUAUGUUGGCGUCUCCUGCCUGGAGGGGAGAUGAGAGGGUGGAGGGGGUUAGAAGCUGGCAAAAUGGACACGAAAAGAGAGAGUGGAGGGAGAGAGCAGGCUGUGUCAUUAGGGGGAGAGUAAUUGGGAGUGUGUAGGAAGGUAUAUAUGUUUGUUUUUUUUUCUGAGAGAUUGACUCAAUUUGUAAACUUUCACUUAAAAAAAGCACAAUAAAAAUUAUUAAAAAAAAAAUUGCCAAAAUUAAACAGCUAGUUAGUGGUGAAACAAGGAGGCCAGGUGGUACAAUGGUUAAGCACUCGGCUGCUAACUAAAAGGUUGACCGCUCAAACCCACCCAGUGGCUCCAAGGGAGAAAGACCUGGUGAUCUGCUUCCAUAAAGACAUAGCCAAGAAAACCCUAUGGGGCGGUUCUACUCUGUCACAUGGGGUCACUACGAGUUGAAAUCGAUUUUACAGCACCCAACAGCAGCAGCAGUAUUUCUUGAGCAUUUGCUAUGUGCCAACUGUACUCGCUCAUCCGUCAGCAAACACUGUCAUAGGUUCAGAUGUGCACAAUAUGAAAACUACUGGACUUGUCCUCAAACCUCUUUUUUCUACUUUUAAAACAUAAUAUGUUUAUCCCGAUUUUACAGAUGAAAAAACCGAGACACAGAGAAGCCAAGCCGCCCAUAUGUUCUCAGCUCAAAGACAUAGAGCUUUGAUUUAAAAUCAUCUUUACUCCUAAUCUUUACCUUUUUUUUCUUUUUAAUGAGAUCAUACUUAUACAUUAUAACUUUUUUUUCCCAGUUAAUGUAUCACAGACAUCUUUCAGGUCAGUGCAGAGCUAACUCAUUUCUUUCUUAAUAGCUAGUUAAUAUUCCGUAAUGGAAAUCUACAUUUAGUCUCUUCAUUUCACUUUAUUCUUUAUGUGGUGGACAUCCAAUCAUAUGUAACUUUAUAUCCUGGGUUUUUUUUCCACUUCACUUUCUCCAGUCAUUUCCCCUCACAAUAACUAGCAUGUCUCUCCUCUGAGUUAGUCAUGACAUAGGGACAGGAAUCAAAGGAGACCAGAAUAUCAGCUGUAUUGUUGGUGAGGCCUAUCCAGAGAACACAACAUGGAUCUCUUUCUCCCACAUUCCUCCUGAACUGACUGACCCAGGCUUCAGCUUAGGGGCCAAGGGCAGAGCUGUGCUGAUGAGCAUCCACAGGGAGGAGAAGAUAGUGACUGUUAUUAGAGCCUGCCCAGCUCUCCUCCCCAGAAGUGAAAUAUUAUCUCCUCUGUGGAAGUAAGGAGCCUUGGUGGCACAGUGGUUAAAGUGCUCAGCUACUAACCAGAAGGUUGGCCGUUCAAACCCACCAGCUGCUCCACAGGAGAAAGGUGUGGCACUCUGCUUCUGUAAAGAUUACAGCCUUGGAAACCCUAUAGGGCAGUUCUACUCUGUCCUAUAGGAUUGCUAUAAGUCAGAAUUGAUUCAGUGGCAGCUGGUUUGUUUUUUAUUUUUCCUUUGGUGGCACAAGGGUUAAGUGAGCGGCAGCUUACCAAAAGGUUGGCAGUUCGAACCCACCCAGCGACUCUGAGGAAGAAAGACCUGGCGAUCUACUUCCAUAAAAAUCACAGCCACGAAAACCCUAUGUGGCAGUUCUACUCUGUCACCUGGGGUCUCUAUGAGUCGGUGUCUUAGUCAUCUAGUGCUGCCAUAACAGAAAUACCACAAGUGGAUGUCUCUAACAAAGAGAAAUUUAUUUUCUCACAGUCUAGUAGGUUACGAGUCCAAAUUCAGGGCGUUGGCUCCAGGGGAAGCCUUUCUCUCUCUGUCGGCUCUGGAGGAAAGUCCUUGUCCUCAAUCUUCCCAUGGUCGAGGAGCUUCUCAGGGGCAGGGACCCCAGGUCGAAAGGACAUGCUCUGCUCCUGGUGCUGCUUUCUUGUUGGUAUAAGGUCCCCAACUCUCUGCUUGCUUCUCUUUCCUUUUAUAUCUCAAGAGAUAAAAGGUGGUGCAGGCCACAGCCCAGGGAAACUCCCUUUACCUUGGAUCAGGGAGGUGACCAGAGUAAGGGUAGUGUUACAAUCCCACCCUAAUCCUCUUAACAUAAAAUUACAAUCACAAAAUGAAGGACAACCACACAAAACUGGGAAUCCUGGCCUAACUAAGUGGAUAACAUAUUUUUGAGGGGACGUAAUUCAAUCCAUGACAGUCGGAAUCAACUCAGUGGCACCUAACAACAAAAGCAACAUGGAAAUGUGAAGCAGAAGUGGUUCUGUCUGAGAGACGACAAAACUGAGGCUCUGAGAGAUGGGUGGUCAGUGGCCUAAACUGCUUGCCUGCCCUUAGAAUAGCCAGCCCCUGGCUGAUAAUCACAUCUGACAGGAGGGGUUGGUCAUCCCUACAAUGAGUGCUGUAACCUGAAGAACUCUGGAUCUUAAGUGUCAGUCUCCAGGGUGUCUUACCACUAAGAAAAUCCUCAGGCUUUCUUGGUUCUCUUCUCCUUUAAUAUCUUUAACAUCCUAAACACUUCUCUCUCAGACUCCAAAAGGGAGAACUGCUAGAAGAUUAAAGCUGUUACAGAAUAUCAAUUAGUUUAUAAUGAGGGAAAUCUAUAAACCUUUUGGUGGAUAUCUGGCAGGAACACAGGAUGUAGGAGUCGAUAAAUUUAUGGAAUAUUUUGUGCAUCUGUAGAAAAAAAAGGGAUUUUGUGAAUCAAACACUAUAAAUGAUUUACCAGGAUAGCAAAAGAAAAAAAAAAAAAAGUCAAAUAAAUCGCUCAGAUUGCAUCUGAAGCAUCAAGAGCUCCAGUGUUUGGGAAAGAAUCGUUUCUGUAGUAGAAAAUAGCUGCAUUAUAUUUCCAGAAAGGUGAUGCUUCUAUUGAGAUGGGUGAGCCUUCUACAUUUUAAAAACUUGGCACAGCAAGACUGUGCUGAAUUGCUGAUGUUCUCCUGUUUUUCUUGUGAGGAUUAAAGUCUAACCUUUUCUACUGCUUUAGUGUUUCUUUAAAAACAUAAUGGGGGAAAGCAAAACCCAAUGGUGCAUGUUAUUGAAGGUCCUUGGAAAGGCCCCCAAGGAGAGUACCACAGAACUGCCCCCCUCUGUCAUAGUCUGUCUUUAGAAAGCUCCUGGGCCCUUCUGCUGGCUUAGUCUAACAUGAGUUGCUAUUUACUCAGAGUCUAGAGGGAGAUGAGAUUUGAAGCUGAAAUACAAGUAAGAGGUUCCUUAGGUACCUAACCUGGUAGAGCGCAAACCAGCCAAGUCCUAGUCACAUCAUUCUCAUUUAGCUCAAUAAUUGGGGAACUGUGAAAGGGCAGGUUCUGCCUGCAUUUUGGACAGGAAUAGGCAAUAAUAGCAGUAAUAAUAAUGCUUAAAACCAAACCCAUUGCCAUCAAGUCAGCUCUGACUCCUAGAAAACCUAAAAGGACAGAGUGGGACUGCCUCAUAGGGUUUCCAAGGAGCACCUGGUGGAUUUGAACUGCCAACCUUUUGGUUAGCAGCUGUAGCUCUUAACCAGUACGCCACCAGGCUUUCCAUAAUAAUGCUAAGUAGCAUCUAUAUAGCACUUAUUAUAUGCCAGAUACAGUUGUAAGUAAUGUAAAUAUAUCUACAUCUGUGGAAAGAGACGAUGGAAAAGCUCAAUAUCAUCAGUCAGAACAAGGCCAGGGGCCGACUGUGGAACAGACCAUCAAUUGCUCAUAUGCAAGUUCAAGCUGAAACUGAAGAAAAUCAGAGCAAGUCCACGAGAGCCAAAAUAUGACCUUGAGUAUAUCCCACCUGAAUUUAGAGACCAUCUCAAGAAUAGAUUUGAUGCAUUGAACACUAAUGACCGAAAACCAGACGAGUUGUGGAAUGACAUCAAGGACAUCAUCCGUGAAGAAAGCAAGAGGCCACUGAAAAGACAGGAGAGAAAGAAAAGAUGGAUGUCAGAGGAGACUCUGAAACUUGCUCUUGAGCAUCGAGCAGCUAAAGCAAAAGGAAGAAUUGAUGAAGUAAAAGAACUGAACAGAUUUCAAAGGGCCUCUGGAGAAGACAAAGUAAAGUAUUAUAAUGACAUGUGCUAAAGAGCUGGAGAUGGAAAACCAAAAGGGAAGAACACGCUAGGCGUUUCUCAAGCAGAAAGAACUGAAGAAAAAAUUCAAGCUUCGAGUUGCAAUAGUGAAGAAUUCCAUGGGGAAAAUAUUAAACGACGCAGGAAGCAUCAAAAGAAGAUGGAAGGAAUACACAGAGUCAUUAUACCAAAAAGAAUUAGUCGAUAUUCAAGCAUUUCAAGAGGUGGCAUAUGAUCAGGAACCGAUGAUACUGAAGGAAGAAGUCCAAGCUGCUCUGAAGGCAUUGGCGAAAAACAAGGUUCUAGGAAUUGAUGGAAUAUCAGUUGAGAUGUUUCAACAAACAGAUGCAGCUCUGGAGGUGCUCACUCGUCUAUGCCAAGAAAUAUGGAAGACAGCUUCCUGGCCAACUGACUGGAAGAGAUCCAUAUUUAUGCCUAUUCCUAAGAAAGGUGAUCCAACCGAAUGUGGAAAUUAUAGAACAAUAUCAUUAAUAUGACACGCAAGCAAAAUUUUGCUGAAGAUCAUUCAAAAACGUCUGCAGCAGUGUAUCGACAGGGAACUGCCAGAAAUUCAGGCUGGAUUCAGAAGAGGACAUGGAACCAGGGAUAUCAUUGCUGAUGUCAGAUGGAUCCUGGCUGAAAGCAGAGAAUACCAGAAGGAUGUUUACCUGUGUUUUUUGACUAUGCAAAAGCAUUUGACUGUGUGGAUCAUAACAAACUAUGGAUAAUGCUGCGAAGAAUGGGAAUUCCAGAACACUUAAUUGUGCUCUUGAGGAACCUUUACAUAGAUCAAGAGGCAGUUGUUCGGCCAGAACAAGGGGAUGCUGAUUGGUUUAAAGUCAGGAAAGGUGUGUGUCAGGGUUGUAUUCAUUCACCAUACCUAUUUAAUCUUUAUGCUGAGCAAAUAAUCCAAGAAGCUGGACUAUAUAAAGAAGACCAGUGUAUCAGGAUUGGAAGAAGACUCAUUAACAACCUGCGUUAUGCAGAUGACACAACCUUGCUUGCUGAAAGUGAAGAGGACUUGAAACACUUGCUAAUGAAGAUCAAAGACCACAGCCUUCAGUAUGGAUUACACCUCAACAUAAAGAAAACAAAAAUCCUCACAACUGGACCAAUGAGCAACAUCAUGAUAAACAGAGAAAAGAUUGAAGUUGUCAAGGAUUUCAUUUUACUUGGAUCCACAAUCAACAGCCAUGGAAGCAGCAGUCAAGAAAUCAAAAGACGCGUUGCAUUGGGCAAAUCUGCUGCAAAGGACCUCUUCAAAGUGUUGAAGAGCAAAGAUGUGACCCUGAAGACCAAGGUGUGCCUGACCCAAGCCAUGGUAUUUUCAAUCACAUCAUAUGCAUGUGAAAGCUGGACAAUGAAUAAGGGAGACCGAAGAAGAGUUGACACCUUUGAAUUGUGGUGUUGGCGAAGAAUAUUGAAUAUACCAUGGACUGCCAAAAGAACGGACAAACCUGUCUUGGAAGAAGUGCGGUCAGAAUGCUCUUUAGAGGCAAGGAUGGCGAGACUGCGGCUUACAUUACAUACUUUGGACGUGUUGUCAGGAGGGAUCAGUCCCUGGAGAAGGACAUCAUGCUUGGCAGAGUACACGGUCAGCGGAAAAGAGGAAGACCCUCAACAAGGUGGAUUGACACAGUGGCUGCAACAAUGAGCUCAAGCAUAAUGAUUGUAAGGAUGGCACAGGACCAGGCAGUGUUUCGAUCUGUUGUGCAUAGGGUCGCUAUGAGUCAGAACUGACUCAACGGCACCUAACAACAACAACAACAAUUUUAUAGGAAGCUUCUUCUUAGUAGCCAACUUUUACCUAAAGGAAAAUUUCACAUAUAGUAGAGGUUCAAGCCAAAGUAUAAGAAAUUCACCUCCCCUCCAAACCCCCACCUUCUAAGUAAAACAAGAACAAAAAAAAAUUUUUAGGGAAAGACAUGAAAUAUGCAGUUGUGACACUUAGUACAUGUCCAUACAAAUGAAAGUUUAAUUUGGUAAUUUCUCAAAUAGAGAAAUGUCAUGGUAACGUAAUUAUGGAAUAAAGAAGUAGAUUCAUGUCCAGGACAUGGUAACAUCCUUUCCUCUUGUGUGACUUAGUGACAUUGGUUCCUGUAAAGUGUUAGCAGGUGUGGGCUGCCUUUUCGAACCUUUGGGGAUCCCCACAUUGGCUCAGUUCCUUCUCCUGAAAGACCAAAAUGCUCAUUCCUUCUAGAACGAUUUAAAGAAUGUUUAGUUUAUUUUUUGCUUUAUAAAUGCAGAGCUCCUCACAGAUGCACGAAUUAUUUAUAAGCAACCAGGAACCUCAGAAUAACCAAUAACUUUCCACUGUCAACUGUCCUCCACUGCUGGGCCUGUUAAUGAAUAGGUGUUUUGGGGCAUUGCUAAUAAUCUGCAGUGAGGGUGAAAACAGGUGGGAUUAUAAGGCUGAAGGGCUAUGCUUUCUGCCCAGUCUUUUCAGAAACUGGUUUUUCUGUGUUCUGUCACAAUUUUUGGUCCAGAAUGUUCUAAAUAAUAACUGCACUCCAGUGUCUGUUAAUGGAAAACUCUUAACAAUUACCUUCCUGGAGCCUCCAGAAAAGCCAGCAGAUUUGUUUUAACGAGGCAGGAGGGAAGACCAGCCCUGACCUUCCCCAGCAAACAUUGUCCUGCUGCCAUAAGGCAGAAGGUACUUUAACUCCAAAGUGAAUGAAAGUGACCUAUAAGUAGGCCUUCUUCCUGAGCAGAGCAGACUCUCUGUAGUAAACAUGUACCUAGUCUCCCUCCCGCUUCAGGCUGAGAGAAGAUGGGAAGCACAGUUUGGUGCACUGCACCUCACCUGCCGCCCAUUCCUUGUGAUUCUAGAGUGACUGCCAGUCAGUAAUCUCACCUGGCCGUCAGGGCAGCACCAGCUGGUAGCCCAUCAGCCUGUGAUGCCAGCUGCACUCAUCCAAAAGCCUGUCCUUUCUCCAUCCCAUGAGCCAGUGCGUUCCCUUCUUGUUUAAAUCGGUUUGAGUUCAGUUUCCCAAAAACCCUAACUACUAUCCUUCCUUUUAUGGUUUGGGUGAUUAAAUGAGAUAAUGCACUGUGGUAGGGCCUGGUACAUGGUAAGCAUUGUGUCACCUGUCAUUGUUAUGAUACUGUUGUUAGGGUGGUGGUUAUUAUUACCGUUCACUGAAACACAGGAUGAUGAGAGCUGAGCCACCCCGUCAACCUUAAGGUCACGUUAUAGGGAUUAGAUGACAUUAGAAAUGUGAAUGUGUUUAAUAAACUAAAAAGUGCAACAAGGACUUAGAAAAGGAUGCUGAUUUCCAAGAAAAAAAGAACCCUUGGGAGAACCCUCCAGUCUGGUGGCUGAGGAGAAAAUUACCUCAAAGGCAGACAGCCCAAACCUGGAGCGUGUCCCUGUGGUCUCUGGUUCCAGUUGGGUUCAAGCAGUGGUCCUUAACCUUCAUCCAUAAUUCAGCAUUUCCUGAGGAGCCUGUUAAAAUGCAGGGUGCCAGGGCUCACCCACAGAGAUUCUGGUUCAAUGGUUCUAGGUGGGCCUUGGUAAUCUGCAUUCUUAACAGGCACCUCAGGUUAUCCUGAUAGAGUUGAAAUGAUCACCAGACUUUUGGAAAACACGGGAUUACAGGAAUGGCUUGCCACUAGGUGUGCUUCAUGAUAUGUUUGGAUUGUGAUUCUUUGAAUGUAAACUCUAGAAGCAAAAAUGCGUGACCUUUAUGGGAGGAGAUAAGUUAAGAUGCCUUCAGCCUCAGCCAGACCUGUGUUUGUCAGGACGCCUUGUCACAGAUCAUUGGCCUGCACGGAUUUAUGGGCUCACAUUUAAUUUCAACUGCUAUUCAUUAAUCCUGAUGAUCUCACUUAAAUUAUUAAACAGUCAUAUUCCAAUUUCGAGGGCACUAAUUAUAUCCUUGAGAGGCUGUUAUUAUCUGGAUGAUCACAUACACUCAGCCAACACUAGAAUGUUUUCUCCUCACCCAUCAGAAUUUUAAACUUCUUCAGGACUUUUUUUUCAGUUGCUGAGCAUGUGCGUUUCAUAUGUCAAAAUCUCAGAGCCGAGGAGUUACAUGAAAUACUAGGGCAAGGGUUCUCAAAUUUUGGUGCACGUAAGAAUCACCUGGGAAGGAUGUUUAAAAUGCACGUUCCCAGGCCCCAACUGUUCAGGAGUCUAAGUAUGUGGUCUGGGUAGAGCCCAGGAAUCUGCACAUAACCAGUUCUCUGGGAACUCUAAUGCAGGGGGUCCGAGGACCUCCAGCUGAGAAAUUCUGCCUUCAGAUGAGAGCACUGGAAGGAGCUCUCGAGGAGUAUUUAGUGAUGAGUACAGUGCCCUCAUUUUUUGAAGCCCAGAGAGGGGAAAGCUUUCACAGCCCCAUGGCAGAGCCCCAGUCGUCACAGCUGGCAUGUUGUGAGGAUCAAAUGAGAUAAUAGAUGGGAAAGUGCUUUGGAAAGUAUUCAACAUGCUAUAAAUAUAAGGCAGCACUAAUAUUUUCAAACUGGAAUGGGCUAGGAACAGAAGUAGCUUGGUCCUUUCUAAAUUACCAUAAUCACCUGGCUUGAGGCCCCAACUAAACCAUAACUCUAAAUUCACCAAGCAUGGUAUAAAUUCCUCCUGAAAUGUCCAAUAAAAUUUUUUCUUUUUCUGUAAGAAUGUGCUUGGAGCCCUGCCUGGUCCUCAGUCAGAAGCUCCCUGCUUGGUCCCGUGUAUUCUGAGGUUGAUCGUAUCUCCUCCAACCUCAGGGCACCUGGUUUAAAGGUCCUGCCUUCCAGCACAUGGAUUUCUGCCCUUUCCUGGGACGUUUAAAACUCAUCCAUGAGUAUUUUUCCCCUCAAAGAGUUCCCUCUGUAUGAGCCUACUUCUGACUGCCUUCAUGGCUUCAGAAAUAGAAGAGCUCAAGUCAAGGCAUCCCAGGUCUUGGUUCUCUUAGCUUGCUUAGGUUUGCUCCAAGUGAACCUUGAGGCAAAGUUUCUUAUCCUGAGGCCACCUCAGUGUGUCUAUGCUGCUUGUCCUGCUGUCACAAUUAACUAGACAGCUCUUAGGAAAGUGUUUCCUCCUACUGGUCAGGAUCAUGCUCCCUGUAAUGUCCCUCAGCGAGGCCUACUUCUGCCCUGAGUUUCCCAGGACUCUUUCCAGGUUUUGGAAGGCCCUGUUUGUAAUCCCCCUAAGUUCCUCAACUGCAAAAUAAAUUUCUAAAAAAUAUAAUGGUGGAAUCAGUUCAGAAACAGACACUCUGGUUCUAUUCACAUUUCAACCUUUAUUUUUAAAUAUUUCUUCCACACUCCCACGGAUUCCAUCUUUUAGCAAGCUCUCCACAUGCAAAACCUUGAGUUCAGGCAUUUGCAAGUUACCCACUUGCAAAGUCUAUUCUUAAAUCUGGAGGAAAUCAGGGCUUCCCUCUGAUGAUGCCUAGGGCUGCCAGGAUCUGGAGGAAAUCAAGGCUUCCCUCUGACGAUGCCUAGGACUGCCAGGAUCUGGAGGAAAUCAAGGCUUCCCUCUGAUGAGGCCUAGGACUGCCAGGCACAUGGCCUCGGGGUUCAGACAGCGUCAGCACUGCUGUCAGGGAUCUUCACCCUCCCUGCAAGUUUUAGAAGUGAGAAAUGGGCACACAGGGCAAAGGACUUAUCUGAUGUCCUCUGGCUGGUUAAUGACAGAGUCACACUCAUUCAAGGAGCACUGGUUUCUGGCUGGGGCUGACCCUCACAAGCUGUCAGCACCCCCCCCCCCAGAAGUUAAGCGCACAGUCACACCCCCAGUCCAGGCUGUCCCCAGUGGUUAGGGUGCUGCUAGCAGGACCAGUAGUGCACAAGAGAGAGGCCUGCCAGCAACAGGUGUGGACACCCAGGAUCUGACCUUCCCCCACCUGCCUUUGUGGACUUAAUAUUUGGCUUUAACCUGACUCAUCCUUGAAUAGAUCUCUUGACUAUUGUAGUCAAGUAUCAACCCCAUUAAACAUUUUAGCCAAUUGCAGCAGUACUGAGCAACAUUCUAGUUAUUUAACAAAGGGAUUUUCCCUGACAGCUUCUUUGGGCCGUCCCCAGUGUGUGCCUAUAACUUAAUUAUGCAAACCCACCUCAGCAGUACUGGGAACCACCAGUGACCACCAGCUCCCCUAUAGAUAGUACUGCUCUUAUCACAUUGUAAAACUAUACUUUUGCAAAUUAUUUUUUUAAUUAAAUGUCUAUUUCGGCUAAAUUUUAUUUGCAUUCGUAUUUGUUAUCUUAGCCUUUUAUCCCAAGGAACCCCUCUGUAAAAACCGUACAUGGUUUGGGCUUUGGAUCAGGACUCCUGGGUCUUACGGGCCCAAGUUCUAGUGUUAGAGGAUAGGGUGACCUUAAGCUGGUUCUUAAUCUCUCCGUGCCUCAAUGAGUAAAACAAGGCAGCUUCUUCAAAGGGUUGUGCAGAUUGAUUGAGAUAUUGCAUGUAGAGGGCUUAGGACAGUGCCUGGCUCAAAGCAAGCACCCCAUAAUGGUUCUUAUUAUUUGCCUGUGCUAGGUCACCUUGGGCAAAUCCUAAUCCUCUCUGGGUCUGUUUACCCAUCUGGCAAAUGAGGAUUAGAUCUUGAUGCUUUGAGGUCCUCCCCGUAAUAUCCCCUAAUACAAAACUCUUUAUGUCCAUCUGUUCUUUCUCCUUCUUUGAUUCCCCUUUCUAGCUAUACCUUGAGGACCCCAAAACUUAGACCUUCAUUAAUAAUAAUAAUAAUAAUUUGUGAAAAUAACUAUAGUUAGUGCCACCCUUUGUGAAUUGCUUAAAAGGUCCCUAGAUGGUGCAAAUGGUUUGCGCUUGCCUGCUACUAAAGGUUGGCGGUUUGAACCCUCCCAGCAAUAUCACAAUAGAAGAGACCUGGCAAUCUGCUUCCAUUAAGAUGACAGCCAAGAAAACCUUAUGGAGCAGUUCUACCCUGCAACACAUGGGGUGGCCAUGAGUUGGAAUCAACUUGACUGCAACUAACAACAACAACAAUGAAUUGCUUGGUAUGUGUCAGGAACAGCUAAUUCAUGGUCUCAUUGGAUCCUCUGAGAUUGGUAGUAUUAUCCUGAUAUUACAGAUGAAGAGACUGGAAAUUAGAAAGGUCCAGUUCACACAGCAAGCUAAUGGCAGAGUCAGAAUCCAAACUCAAGUUUAUUUCCAUCCAGAGUGAUACACUGUUGUGUAUUACCUCCCCUGAGUGAUAGGAAUACUUAGAAAGAUUUAGUGCCUUAUAAUUCCUUCAUUUAUUUGUCAUAGAUCCACUCCCUCUUGGCUCUUUGACUUUGAAAAACAGGGGCCAGGUUAAGCUGGGACACAAUGUCUACCUAUCAGGAAAAAGAAUGAAAACCUGGACAUUUUUCUGCCAGAAUUCUCACCUUUGAUUUGCUGAGAAUUUUUCCUCCUCUAAUGCAGAGUCUGAUUUUCUUUCCCUUCAACUUUCGUGCCACUGGAAAAUUUUAAAUUAUUCAAGACAUUGAAGGUUUAUUAUCUGCUGAAAGGCUAUAAUGUAAUUGCGGGGUAUCAUUUAAAGAGCUGUCUGUCUGUGUGAACCACCUUGUCCUGAAUAUCUGCUCCUGCAUAGAGUGGGAAGAUGUAUAUUUAUUUAUCAGUGGUGCUUUAUAACUGCCUUAGAUCAAUCCUAUUAUUCUUCUCCCACGGCCCAAGCCCCAAAAUAAAUGGCUGGUGAUGCACAGAGCAUUGAAAUCAUUUAUGUAACAUCAGCCAUUUAUUUCUGUUCUGUCAUUUGCAUUUUGAUGGACAGCCAUGUGUUUGUGAAAUGCCUUUUUUUUUUUUUUUUUAAAACAGCCUUUGCUCACAUUGCCCACGUGUAAUACCAACUUGGAUAUUAAUCACCCCAAUUAGAAGAUAUCCUUUCAAAUAUUACAUCACCCUCAAGUCGUGAUAUUCACACCAUGUUUGUCGUAAAGAUAUAAAUGCUAACUCCUAUUUCAUUCUUCCUUUUGUUUCUAUAUAGAAAGAUAUGUUUUCCCAGUGUUUAUCACUAGUGACAAGAGAAAAUAUCUUUGUGGAAAGGAGCAGGGGGAGAUGCAUUAUUUUUCCCUCUGUAAAUGCCUCAUCAAUUCAGUGGCAUUGUGAGAUAAAAGUUCACCUGGUGACUUUUCCAGGUGUUGAUGUGAGGGCAAGUAGACCAGGUCUGGCUCUAGCCCUGCCAGUAAAUAGCUCUGUGACCUUGAGCAAAUUACAUCACCUUUUGUGCUUCGGUGUCUGCAGCUAUAAAGUAUAGAUGACUUGUAAAAUUCCAUCAAGCUUUAAAUUCUAGAACUCUAAGGUGACUUUCCUGACUUCUGCCCAGAGUUUCAAGUUAUAACUUGAUGCCGUAUAGUUGUCUUAAUGAAUAUAAGCUGUUUAAUACAGCACUGCCCCCCAAAACUAUUGAGUUCUGGAAAAGUUAUUUGCCCCCACACACUAAAUGACCUAGUGCACUUGGUUUCAAAAGCCCAAAUUUGGUAUUUAUGUAUUUUUUCUAAAUCUUCUCCCUCACUGCAUAACUCUUAGAUGAUGUUUACUUCAUGUCACUGCAGUGUGUCUGUCCCUGAGAGCUUUUUCCUUCUAAUUUGCUAUUUCAGAUCAGCUUUGGAACAAGAAAUCUACUUAUCAAACUUAUUAGAAUUUCAUCUAAAAUUCUAGAUAAAAAAUUCUGAAAUUCACUCAGGGUGACUCAAGGCUCUCUCACCAAUGAUUAAACUUCAUGAGCCAAGUUUAGUGGCCAGUUGGCCACGUAGAGAAUGAAGCUUUUAAUUCUAAGUGGGAAUAAUCAGGGAAGACUUCCUAGAGGAGGUGUCACUGGCUAGGGAAGGAGGUUCCCUGGGCUGAGGGAACAGCUUAAGCAAAACACAGAGGCAGAGUGGUCGAUCAGCUAUCUCAGAUAGUGAUUGUUGGGGUAUGUGUUAUGGCCUCAUGAGUGACCGACCUUUGUGUCUACGUACUGAGUGGGGAGCUCAGUAUUUCCCAGCCCCCAAGGAGAUACAUAAUCUAGCAGAGGAUUGCAGGUAGGAAACCCAGCCUGGGAGAUGUGAUUUAAAUUCUGAACUAUUAGAAUUUCCAGACGUUUAAGAAGUUCUAGAAUUUCAUUGUGGGAACAUAAUGUUUUGACCAGAACUGAUGCAUGUAAUGCAGGAUCUCUGUUCACCAUGGUUUUCAGUUAUUGAAGAGCCUUAAGCCAUGGUCCCUCUAGAGUCUCUAGAAAUGUGCCAUCCAGCCCAGUAGCCACUAGCCACAUGUGGCUGUUUAAGUUAGUUAAAAUUUAAUAAAAUUAAAAAUUCAGUUCCUCAGUCACCGAAGACACAUUUCACAUGCUCAGUAGCUUCCAUAUUCAACACAUAGAAUGACACAGAAAGUUCUGUUGGACUGCACUGCUCUAAACAGACAAGUGUAAAACUCAUGUAGCAGGAGUUAACGUUUAGUCCCCCCCAGAGCCAAAGAUGCUUGAGCCAAGGGUCUUGCUCUGUUUUCAUCACUGUUGAGGCCUGGUGAGCAAUCCUGGGUCCACAGCCCAUAGCUCAAAGUCCAUUGCACCAUGCUGGUGGGAAUGUUAAGUUGACAAUUUUUCUGAAAGCCAAUUUGACAAUAUGUAUCAAAGUUCCUUAAAAAUGAGCUCAUCCUUUCCUCUAGCAAUUGUAUGUCUAGGAACUUUCAUAAGGAAACAAUCAAAGAUGAAUAAAUAGGUGGAUGUUCGUGGAUGUUCAUUACAGUAUUGUUUAUAAUAGCAGAAACCAAUGGAAAUAGCCAGUAAUGGGAGGGGUGAGGAGCUCUGUUUUGUAGCAUUUGCUAAUUCCUGUGGUGUAAAACUCCCAUCCUGGCUGAUUGCAAGCUACCAACAUUAUGUAUGGUCGGGAAGAGAUGUUCACAAUCAGCUCUCCCCAGCCUGUACGAGCCAGCUCCAGCACAUCACUAGCAAAUAGCCUAAAGGUCUAAGAAGAGGAAACUGAUUAAAUAAAUUAUGGUAGAAAAUGUUGUGAAAUCAUUAAAAAUGUGCUGUAGGCCAGUGGUUCCAAACCUUAGCACACAUCAGAACCACCUAAAAAAAGGCUUGUUAAAAUCCAGUUUCCUGGUUCUUACCCUUUGAGUUUCUGAUUCAAUAGGUCAGGUAGCUCCCAAGAGAGAAUUUGCAUUCUUAACAGGUUCCCAGAGGAUGUUGAUGCUGCUGGUCCUGGUUCCAUGCUUUCAGAGCCGCUGCUGUAGAAGAAAAUUUGAUGGCAUGAUUUUUACCGUAUACACACACAGAAAAAUCCCAUAUUUGUAAAUAUAAAGUUAUGUAUAAAUAAUAAUAAUAGCACCAGCUACAGUUAUUGAGUUCUAAUGUGACAGAGAGGAGCCCUGAUGGCGCAGUGGUUAAGUGCUCAGCUGCUAUCCAAGAAAGGUUGGCAAUCUGAACCCACCCAGUGGCUCUGUGGGAGAAAGACCUGGCAAUUUGCUACCGUAAAGAUUAUAGCCUGGAAAACCCUAUGGGGCAAUUCUACUCUGCACAUGGGUUCACUGAGUUGGAGUCCACUCAAGGGCACCUAACAACAGCAACAACAAUGUGACAGACACUAUGCUGAGUUUUUCACAUGCAUUAUCUUAUUUAAUAACAACUGUUCUGUGAAGAAUGUAAUAUUAUUACCCCCAUUUUAUGUACAAGGAAACUGAGGCUUAGAAAAGUAAGGAAUCUUUUCCAGGGUCACACAUCUGAUAGAGUUGGGACUAGAGUUUGAACUUGACCAUUCCAACAUGUGCUUACCUGUGUCAGCACUCACCUGUGAUAGUGCUCACAUGUGUCAGCACAACACUGAAACACAACCCAAUACCCACAGUUAUUUCAAUUGAUGGGGUCACAGGAGAUUUACAUGUUUUUCUGUCUACUUUUAUGUGUUUUCCAAGUUUUCUACAAUGCAAUGUUUUUGUAAUAAAAAAUCUAACAUAGUGAACAGUAUAAAUAAGAAAAGCCAUUGUACUGUUCGUUCCCCAUCUGCACACCUUGCCCUUGGCAUCCUUGGUUUGGAAGGCUCCCCUACCUCUGUACCCAGCAGUCCAGUUUGGCUCAACUCUUGGCCCUCAGCCACUUGAGAGUUUACAAAGCUUUCACUUUUGGUAACUUGCCUGAUCCUCACAACGAUCAUAUGGAUUAGUUAUCUGACUGCUUCCAUUUUAUAGGUGAGGCGACUAAGGCUAAAUAAGGUAAAAUGACCUGCCUGCGGUUACACGGCUAAGCAGAGUGGUUUUCCCUUUAGGCAUUCACUCAUUGACUCAUUUAUUUUCUGGCUCUUGCUUCUAGUUAACAGUGUAAUUCAGUAGUUGCCAUUUAUUGAACGCUUACUUUACACUAGGUAUUCUGCUUACAUUGCUGCAUUUUAACUUCGCAGAAACCCUGAAAGGAAGAUAUUGUUACCACCGUUGUAGAGAUGAAAACAAGACGAAGAGGGGGCUAAGUGCCAUAUGUAAGGAUACACAGCCAGUAUUAAAAUUCCAAAGCACACCGUUCAUUCUGGACACACAUCUGAAUUUCUGACAUCAGCCACCUGGGCCUGAUUCUGCAACCAGCAGGGCUCACCAUGAGAAGCCUGGCUCUUUCACCCUGGCUCAGACCAGUGUUAGACACCCUGAACUUAACACAUCCCACUCUGACCGGGGUAACUCUGCACGUCCUGACAGCCCCUCCACAGGUGGACAUGAAGCUCAUCUGUUUCAUGUGGGUUUUCACCCCAGGUGCCUGGCCUUUGAGUGAGUGCUUACUGGGUGCCAGGCACAGUGCUAAGUGGUUUACUCUCAUUUCUCAUGCAAUUCUUCACAGAACCCUAUGAGUUGUGGAUAGUGUUGACUUCGUUUUGCAUAUGGAGAAGUUAAGUGACUGUCUGCAAUCACACAAAGGGGACAUUGGUGGUUCAGUGGUAGAAUUCUCAUCUUCCAUAAUGAAGGCCUGAGUUCCACUGUGACCAGUGCACCUCAAACGUAGCCACCACCCAUCAGUGGAGGCUUGGGUGUUGAUAUAAUGCUGAACAGGUUUCAGGGGAGCUUCCAGACUAAGAUAGACUAGGAAGAAAAGCCUAACAAUCUACUUCCAAAAAUCAGCCAAUGAAAACCGUAUGGAUCACAGCAGUCCUGUCCAAAACCAAUCAUGGGAAUGGUACGGGACCAGGAAGCAUUUUGUUCUGUUGAGUAUGGGGUCACCAUGAAUUGGGGGCCAACUCUGUGGCCACUAACAACAACAGGAUCAUGCAGGUAGUAAGUGGCAGGGCUGGGCACUUCCCUGGAAUGGGGAGCCCCAAGGCUAUGGCUUUAAAUAACACUUUAUAUCAUUUCACAGCUUGCCUCAGAGGCUUUGCCCAUCAGAAGGAGGAAGGGAAUUGGCCUUGGACCAGUCACUGUCACGUGCCAUUUUUUUCACACCUGUUUGUAAAGAGGCCUGUUUAAUGGCAAUUAAUGCUAUGAAGGCUUUUAAAUUGUUAACAUUAAUUGGGUAAAGCCUAUGUUGAGUGGCAAAGAUGCCAGCAGGUGUGUGAAUGGUGUCCCCGAUAGCCAGAACGAUGCCAGACCCAUAAGUGGCAUCAUUAAAUGUGUGUUGAAUUAACAGAUACAAGAGCACCUUUGAGAACUUGAAUCCAUCAAACCCACCAAUGCGCUCUCCUUCAUCUCUUCAUAUUCUAAUCUGUCCUUCUCUACUAUGGCAUCAAGACAUUAUGGGUUAGGAUAUGUUAUAAGGUGUGUCACAAGUAAUUUUGUUACUGCCAGUUCUUAAAGUACCAGUGUUUGUGAAUGUUGAGCAAAUGUAUGGCUGUCCUUUGUCUUACUUAGCCCAUAUCCUCCAGGAAACAGCCUAAGUAAUGAUUAAGGCGAUGACGCUUUAUUUGGGAGGUGCCAGCCCAAGACAGUGAGGGAGAGGGUAAAAAGGAAAAGUGAGGCAAAAAACAUGAGGCAAGCUCCAACACUCAGCAGGUGGGGCUUCUCCCAAAAGUUGAAAGGAGGAGCAGCACCCGGGAGCAGAGGCAUAACUAGGGUAUGGCAGGUAUUGCACCACCCCUCAUGGUGCCACUGAGCAGUUUUUAUUAACCCAGUAUGGCCAGCAGUAUAUCUAAGGAAAAUAGCACCUAUGGCAAGCACUGAAAUUGUGCCCUGUCCAACCAUGCUACACCCCUCUUUUAGAUAACUUUACCAUAAUAUCUCAAAAAUACAAGUCAAGCUCGUUAAUCUUUUACUUAACACAUUACCGUGCUUGAGGAAGAAUGUUGGGCCAUACCAGGUUAAUAGAAACCGCUCAGCGGAGCCAGGUGCCCAGGGCCAGUGCAAUACCCUAGAUAUGCCACUGUCUGGACAUACUCCAUGGAAGCGAGAAAGGAGGGGAAAUGUUUCUACCUGGCUCUCUCGCAUCUCCUGUUUCCCGUUGAUCAAAGUUCAAAUUAACUUCCCCACUUCCCAGUUGUGUCAUCUAGCCCUUUGGGGGCCACUCAGAAAACCCAGUCCCAGGGCCUGCACUGUGAUGUUUCAUCUGUACCCCAGUGUGACCUGAUGCAGGUCGGGUCCUGAGAAAGACAAGGACAUCUGAGAAGGCACAGGGUUUGUGUCUAAUGUAUUUUUAUAAUAAUGACACACAUUUGCUGUGCCCGGGUAGGAGAAAAAGCGAGAGCAUUACAGCUGUUAAAGUCCAGGGCAUGGGAAUUGUACAUGACCCUGGGUAUACCCACAUGAUCCCGGCAUUUCACGGCCAUCAUUAGACAUGUGUAUUAUCAUCCCAACUCUAGGUCCAGCUGACACAUUUGGGUAUUGUUUUGCUUGACUGAUUCUCAUCUCCCUGACCAGAUUUUCCAGAUAUUGUGGUACUCUUUUUUUUUUUUUUUUAGUGACUUGUGCCAGUGUUUUGCAUUCAGUCAUUAGUAAGUCAGUCCAGCAUGUGGCUUUUACUGGUAGAGUUGAAUUGUGACCCUUGGCAUCAUAGAUGUAGGAUACACCACUGAAAUUUCCUGAGCGUGUACUGUAUAUCUUGGAUUCUGUAGGGCUGGGAUGGAACAGAUGUGGAUGCUGCUACAGGUUGGGGUCAAGUGUCUGCCUCAAGGGCAAGACUUGACGUGGCCGUGAGACCCAGGCACAGAGCCCAGUCUGCCCGUCCAACCUCACCCCUAGCCCCAAGUCACCCUUGUUUCUCAUCACACCUGCCUUUUCAGCCAUAUGCCUUUCAGUUCUUCUGCCCCCUCACCUUCCUUUCCACUUUUGAGGACCAGGUUGAUCAGGUCCUUCCUCCUCCAAGAAGCCUUCUCUGAUGCUUCAGCCCAUGCUGGUCUCCUCUUCUCUGAAGGUGCUGAAAUUUGAGUGCUGAGCUUACAUGCCUGGCAUCCUACCUCCUUGGCUGGAAAGUGAGUAGGUCAAGGGCAAGUGGCCCGGCACAGUGGAAGUGGGCUGCCUUAAAAGUUUAUCAGCUAUUGAACGCUUGCUAAAUGAUGUGUUUGAGGCAGCAACUCCUAUUGUGUGUCAAAGAAAGAAGGGACUUUGUUUAUAUCCUAACUUCCUUUUUCAGUGAGAAUCUCUGAUUCCCUUAUGCUUCUCCCAGCAUUAAUAAAUUGGUUUACUCCCAUUUUGCAGAUGAGGUAACUGAAGUGCAGAGAGUAAGUCACAAAACAUAUCAGGCUUUUAGGGGACAUCUAGGUCAAUUGGCAUAAUAAAAUCUAUUAAGAAAACAUUCUGCAUCCCACUUUGGAGAGUGGCAUCUGGAGACUUAAACGCUAGCAGGCAGCCAUCUAAGACGCAUCAACUGAUCUCAACCCACCUGGAGCAAAGGAGAAUGAAGAACACGAAUGACACAAGAUAAUUAUGAGACCAAGAGACAGAAAGGGCCACAUAAACCAGAGACUACAUCAGCCUGAGACCAGAAGAACCAGAUGGCGCCCAGCUACAACUGAUGACUGCCCUGACAGGGUACACAACAGACAACCCCUGAGGGAGCAGGAGAACAGCGGGAUGCACACCUCAAAUUCUUGUAAAAAGACCAGAUUUAAUGGUCUGACUGAGACUAGAAGGACCCCAGAGGUCAUGGUCCCCAGACUUUUUGUUAGCCCAAAGAGGAACCAUUCCCAAAGCCAACUCUUCAGACAGGGAUUGGAUUGGGCUAUGGGAUAGGAAAUGAUACUGAUGAGGAGUGAGCUUCUUGGAUCAAGUAGACACAUGAGACUAUGUAGGUAGCUCCUGUCUAGGGGAUGGGAGAUGAAGAGGGCAGAGGGGGUCAGAAGCCAGCUGAGUGGACAUGAAAAUAGAGUGGAGGGAAGGAGUGUGCUGUCUCAUUAGGGGGAGAGCAACUAGGAGUAUAUAGCAAGGUGUGUAUAAAUUUUUGUAUGAGAGACUGCCUUGAUUUAUAAUCUUUCAGUUAAAGAACAAUAAAAAAUUUUUUUAAAAAUGAGACUUAAGAGGCACACCAGCCCAGGAACAAGGACCAGAAGGCAGGAGGGGACAGGAAAGCUGGUAGUAGGGAACCCGAGGUUUAGAAGGAGAGUCUUGCCAUGUCGUGGGGUUGUUAACCAAUGUCAUAAAAAAAAUCUGUACUGUUUAAUGAGAAGCUAGUUUGUUCUGUAAAUCUUCAUCUAAAGUACAACAAAAAAUAAGAAAAAAAUGAGCAUGCAAAAUAAAAGGUAGUGUAGUGUACCAAAAAAAAACACAUCAGGCAGACUACAGACACCAUCCCUCUUUCCCUUUCUCGCUACAGUGUGGUGAAGUCAGCUAUAUAAAAAACAUUUUAAAACCUAAUGCCAUGGAGUCAAUUCCAACUCACACCGACCCUGUAGGACAGAGUAGAACUGCGCCGUAGGGUUUUCAAGGCUGUAAUCUUCAUGGAAGCAGACUGCCAUAUUUUUUUCCCACAGAGAGGCUGGUGGGUUCUAACCGCCAAACUUUUGGUUAGCAGCCAAAUGCUUAACCAGUGCACCACCAGGGCUCUUGGCUACAUUUUA